CAAGUCGAACGCGAAAGUUCCCUUCGGGGGGCAAGUAGAGUGGCGCACGGGUGAGUAACACGUAGGUAAUCUACCUUUGGAUUGGGAAUAACCACCGGAAACGGUGGCUAAUACCGAAUAAUGCAGCGGCACCUAAUGGUGACAGUUGUUAAAGCGGGGGAUCGUAAGACCUCGCGUCUGAAGAGGAGCCUGCGGCAGAUUAGCUAGUUGGUAAGGUAACGGCUUACCAAGGCGAUGAUCUGUAGCCGGCCUGAGAGGGCGGUCGGCCACACUGACACUGACAUACGGGUCAGACUCCUACGGGAGGCAGCAGUCGGGAAUUUUGGGCAAUGGGCGAAAGCCUGACCCAGCAACGCCGCGUGAAGGAUGAAAUCCUUCGGGAUGUAAACUUCGCAAGAACGGGAAGAAUAAGUAAGAGUUAAUAUCUCUUACGAUGACGGUACUGUUUGUAAGCUCCGGCUAACUCCGUGCCAGCAGCCGCGGUAAUACGGGGGGAGCAAGCGUUGUUCGGAUUUACUGGGCGUAAAGGGCGCGUAGGCGGCCACCGCAAGUCGACUGUGAAAUCUCCGGGCUUAACCCGGAAAGGUCAGCCGAUACUGCGGGGCUAGAGUGCAGAAGGGGCAACUGGAAUUCUCGGUGUAGCGGUGAAAUGCGUAGAUAUCGAGAGGAACACCUGCGGCGAAGGCGGGUUGCUGGGCUGACACUGACGCUGAUGCGCGAAAGCUAGGGGAGCGAACGGGAUUAGAUACCCCGGUAGUCCUAGCCUUAAACGAUGAAUGCUUGGUGUCUGGGGUUUUAUAGUCCCCGGGUGCCGUCGCUAACGCUUUAAGCAUUCCGCCUGGGGAGUACGGUCGCAAGACUGAAACUCAAAGGAAUUGACGGGGACCC
This 888-nucleotide ribosomal RNA is filed under the name uncultured Bacillota bacterium. Its description in RNAcentral is "bacterial SSU rRNA". It matches the Rfam family "Bacterial small subunit ribosomal RNA", at positions 58 to 922 of the family's 1533-position model. The record is from RNAcentral. Lineage: Bacteria; Bacillati; Bacillota.